UACGGAGGAUGCGAGCGUUAUCCGGAUUUAUUGGGUUUAAAGGGUGCGCAGGCGGAUUUUUAAGUCAGCGGUCAAAUCGUGGGGCUCAACCCCAUCCAGCCGUUGAAACUGGGGAUCUAGAGUGUGCGAGAGGUAUGCGGAAUGCGUGGUGUAGCGGUGAAAUGCAUAGAUAUCACGCAGAACCCCGAUUGCGAAGGCAGCAUACCGGUGCACAACUGACGCUCAGGCACGAAAGCGUGGGUAUCGAACAGG
RNAcentral lists this ribosomal RNA (252 nucleotides) under uncultured bacterium. RNAcentral's name for it is "partial 16S ribosomal RNA". It matches the Rfam family "Bacterial small subunit ribosomal RNA", at positions 524 to 776 of the family's 1533-position model. The record is from RNAcentral.